This 275-nucleotide ribosomal RNA is filed under the name uncultured Gemmata sp. RNAcentral describes it as "partial 16S ribosomal RNA". It matches the Rfam family "Bacterial small subunit ribosomal RNA", at positions 338 to 619 of the family's 1533-position model. The record is from RNAcentral. Lineage: Bacteria; Pseudomonadati; Planctomycetota; Planctomycetia; Gemmatales; Gemmataceae.
CCUACGGGAGGCUGCAGUCGAGGAUCUUCGGCAAUGGGGGCAACCCUGACCGAGCGAGUCCGCGUGUGCGACGAAGGCCUUCGGGUUGUAAAGCACUGUCGAGGGGGAGAAAAGCCCGAAAGGGUGUGAUCUAUCCCUGGAGGAAGCACGGGCUAAGUUCGUGCCAGCAGCCGCGGUAAGACGAACCGUGCGAACGUUGUUCGGAAUCACUGGGCUUAAAGGGCGCGUAGGCGGGCUAUCAAGUCCGGGGUGAAAUCCUCCCGCUCAACGGGAGA